UAAUACGUAGGGUGCGAGCGUUAAUCGGAAUUACUGGGCGUAAAGCGUGCGCAGGUGGUUUUGUAAGUCAGAUGUGAAAUCCCCGGGCUUAACCUGGGAACUGCGUUUGAAACUGCAAGGCUAGAGUGUAGCAGAGGGGGGUGGAAUUCCGCGUGUAGCAGUGAAAUGCGUAGAGAUGUGGAGGAACACCGAUGGCGAAGGCAGCCCCCUGGGUCAACACUGACGCUCAGGCACGAAAGCAUGGGGAGCAAACAGGAUUAGAUACCCUGGUAGUCCAUGCCCUAAACGAUGUCAACUAGUUGUCGGGUCUUAACGGGCUUGGUAACGUAGCUAACGCGUGAAGUUGACCGCCUGGGGAGUACGAUCGCAAGAUUA
Molecule: ribosomal RNA, 375 nt
Filed under: uncultured beta proteobacterium
Lineage: Bacteria; Pseudomonadati; Pseudomonadota; Betaproteobacteria
Description: bacterial SSU rRNA
Rfam family: Bacterial small subunit ribosomal RNA
Source: RNAcentral